This 1040-nucleotide ribosomal RNA is filed under the name uncultured archaeon. Its description in RNAcentral is "bacterial SSU rRNA". It matches the Rfam family "Archaeal small subunit ribosomal RNA", at positions 1 to 1054 of the family's 1478-position model. The record is from RNAcentral.
UCCGGUUGAUCCUGGCAGAGGCCACUGCUAUCGGGGUUCGAUUAAGCCAUGCGAGUCGAGAGGUGCAAGACCUCGGCGCACUGCUCAGUAACACGUGGACAACCUACCCUGAGGAGGGGGAUAACCCCGGGAAACUGGGGAUAAUACCCCAUAGGCCAGGGAUGCUGGAAUGCCUCCUGGCUCAAAGGUCCGCCGCCUCAGGAUGGGUCUGCGGCCGAUUAGGUUGUUGUUGGGGUAACGGCCCAACAAGCCUUUGAUCGGUACGGGUUGUGAGAGCAAGAGCCCGGAGAUGGAUUCUGAGACACGAAUCCAGGCCCUACGGGGCGCAGCAGGCGCGAAAACUUUACAAUGCGAGAAAUCGUGAUAAGGGAACCCCGAGUGCCCGUAAAUUCGGGCUGUCCGCCAGUGUAAAUAGCUGGUGAAGAAAGGGCCGGGCAAGACCGGUGCCAGCCGCCGCGGUAAUACCGGCGGCUCGAGUGGUGGCCACUAUUACUGGCUUAAAGCGUCCGUAGCUUGAUUGUAAGUCUCUUGGGAAAUCCACCGGCUCAACCGAUGGGCGUUCAGGAGAAACUGGCAAUCUAGGGACCGGAGAGGUGAGAGGUACUCCAGGGGUAGGAGUGAAAUCUUGUAAUCCUUGGGGGACCACCUGUGGCGAAGGCGUCUCACUAGAACGGCUCCGACAGUGAGGGACGAAAGCUGGGGGAGCAAACCGGAUUAGAUACCCGGGUAGUCCCAGCCGUAAACGAUGCGCGUUAGGUGUAUCGGUGACCACGAGUCAUCGAGGUGCCGAAGGGAAACCGUGAAACGUGCCGCCUGGGAAGUACGGUCGCAAGGCUGAAACUUAAAGGAAUUGGCGGGGGAGCACCACAACAGGUGGAGCCUGCGGUUUAAUUGGACUCAACGCCGGGCAGCUCACCGGAUAAGACAGCUGAAUGAUAGCCGGGCUGAAGACUCUGCUUGACUAGCUGAGAGGAGGUGCAUGGCCGUCGUCAGUUCGUACUGUGAAGCAUCCUGUUAAGUCAGGCAACGAGCGAGACCCA